AGAGUUUGAUCCUGGCUCAGAACGAACGCUGGCGGCGUGGAUAAGACAUGCAAGUCGAACGCUGAUUUCAGGGUAGCAAUAUCCUGGAGUCGGAGUGGCGCAAGGGUGCGUAACACGUGGGUAAUUUGCCGUGAAGUUGGGGAUAACUCGCUGAAAGGCGAGCUAAUACCGAAUGUGACAGUCGGAAGGCAUCUUCUGAUUUUCAAAGUUGGGGACCGUAAGGCCUGACGCUUCACGAUAAGCCCGCGGCCUAUCAGCUAGUUGGUGAGGUAACGGCUCACCAAGGCUAAGACGGGUAGCUGGUCUGAGAGGACGACCAGUCACACUGGAACUGAGACACGGUCCAGACACCUACGGGUGGCAGCAGUCGAGAAUUUUUCUCAAUGGGCGAAAGCCUGAAGGAGCGACGCCGCGUGGGGGAUGAAGGGCUUCGGCCCGUAAACCCCUGUCAUUUGCGAACAAACCUUACGAUCUAAUAAGUCGUGAGCUGAUUGUAGCGAAAGAGGAAGGGACGGCUAACUCUGUGCCAGCAGCCGCGGUAAUACAGAGGUCCCAAGCGUUGUUCGGAUUCACUGGGCGUAAAGGGUGCGUAGGUGGCGAGGUAAGUUUGAUGUGAAAUCUCCGGGCUUAACCCGGAAACUGCAUUGAAUACUAUUUUGCUGGAGGGUUGGAGGGGGGACUGGAAUUCUCGGUGUAGCAGUGAAAUGCGUAGAUAUCGAGAGGAACACCAGUGGCGAAGGCGAGUCCCUGGACAACUCCUGACACUGAGGCACGAAAGCUAGGGGAGCAAACAGGAUUAGAUACCCUAGUAGUCC
Molecule: ribosomal RNA, 815 nt
Filed under: uncultured bacterium
Lineage: Bacteria
Description: bacterial SSU rRNA
Rfam family: Bacterial small subunit ribosomal RNA
Source: RNAcentral